Strongylocentrotus purpuratus (purple sea urchin) is the source of this 620-nucleotide long non-coding RNA. RefSeq lists it as uncharacterized. The record is from RefSeq and is a predicted model, not a curated record. The transcript is spliced from 2 exons. NCBI's taxonomy places the organism in Eukaryota, Metazoa, Echinodermata, Echinoidea, Camarodonta, Strongylocentrotidae.
UCCACCAGUGGCAAAAGCCUCCAUUCAGUCGACAUUCCACCUGAAUACCUGACGGGAUAAAAGGAGGAAGGAAAUAAACAGCUAUAUAAGGAAAUAAUAUCAUAUGAGUCGACAUUAUGACUCUAUAGCAGAGUGGUAUAUGAUUUCAUCAUUGGCAAUGUUUGGAUCAUUGGGAUCACACUUUUUAUUUGUAAUAUUUCAAACUAAAGAGGAAGCAAGAGUUAACGAGGUCAAGAUGCAUCGAGAUAGAAUUUACUACUACUAUGGUGACCCAGAAAGAUCGGCGGCUCCAGUUUUCACCGUGAAAAAUGGCCGUUCUGUGCCUGGCAACCGUCACAACGAACGCUCAACAAAUUAUGAUGACUGGGAGGAACCUACAUACCAUGACAAUUUGACAUUUAAUAAGAACAUUAUGCAAAAUGAACGACAACGAUAUGAAAUUGAGCCAAAAAAGAACAAAAUCAACGGGAAAAUUGGCUCUUAUAUGGAAACAAAUGGUAAGCGUGAUGUGCUUCCAGGCUCGCCGCCGGUUACAACCGCGACAGGACAAGACGCGACGGACGUUGGACCUCGUAGGCAACAUUCGACUCUCCCGGUGAUGAAACACAUGGAGGGGAAAA